CCUUUUCAUAAGACUGGAUGAAAUAGCGAUAACCAAACUCCAGACAUCAUUCCCAAACUCGCCAUAUCAAAGACUCAAAUGAAUCCAACAUAGGCCCAAAACCAAAAUCACAGUGUACAUACAGUUGGUUCAGACAUCUAACACCUUUCGUAAGAUUCUUAACACAAACAAAAUUCAAAUCCUAAAAUUCAUGUGUUAAAUGACAACUUUUAUACUCUAACACAGAUUUACAUCUACUGACUAAUAGAAGGAGAGAUAUAAAAAUUAAUAGAACUUAGGAACCAAUUUUUGAAAAAUCGAUAACUAAUCACAUCAGCUUUAACACAUGCAUUGUCACAUUCACUUCAAAUUCCAGAGAUUUAAAGGAGUACCUGGAUACAACAAAACAAAAACCAAAAAUGUAUUUGAAAAUCAGCUUAUAGCAACAAAGCAAUAACAAGUCUAGCAGCAAAGACAACAGUAAUCAUCAACUCAAUAGCCUCAAUAUCAAGCCAUAUUUCAGCUUAGAAAAACCAGAAAAAUCCAAAGAAAGACCACUUCUAAACUUUUUAGCCAAAGAAAGAAAUCAAGCUCAAAACUAGAGUAGUUUUUUUUUUGGAAAAAUUUUCAGCCCUUUUCUCUUUUUGUAAUCCUCCCAAUCUUUUACCUAUAAAUCAAUAAAAUGAGCUUCUUAUAGGAGGGCUUUAGGGCAGUAGAACUUAAUUUUAUUUAAUCCCUUUUAACCUUCAAAUUUAUUCUUUUUACUACCUUGGACCCCAAAACAGCUGAGCUGUAUUUUUUCUUUUGCAUUAAGCCCCCUCCUUAUCCUCUAGAAUCUUUUGUUGUUAUAACAGAAACAUUUUUUCAAAGAGAAACCCCCAAACUAACCCCUGACAGCCCUGCAUAUACUUCCUAAACUAGUACCAAAUUGGGUCAUGUGACCCAAAACUCAAAACCAAACCAGUGGGCUUUAUACUACACAAGCCAGAAAUAAGAAAAAAUCCAAAAUACCUAACAUUAAACCAAUAUUAAGCCCUCAAGACUAGCUGGUUCAUUAAACAAACCAAAAGUCAAAUUGAACAAUGAAAUCUGUAAUCGACCAUGAACUAAAACAUGCUAAAAAUGAUUUAACACAACUGACUAAUUAAAAAGUGACUAAAACUCGCUUGAUAAGCGUUCUAAACUAUCAUGCAAACAAAAACUAAUUCAGAAGAAGAGAAAUAAAGAAAUAAAAAUAGAAGAGAAAACAAAAACAAAAUAAAAACAGAAACAAUGAGUAGAGGUCAAGGAUUUACCGAUUGAAUCUAGCAAAACGACCAAGAGAACAAGGAGGAGGACUGGCCAGGCUUCAAGAUUCAUCCAAAGGGCUUGAAGUUGACCCAAAUGAUUACUCCAGUCAAGAGUAACUUAUUUGGGCAAACAUCCAGCCAAAACGAGCAAAACUUCAAGAAAAUCACAAAACUCAGAAAUUAGGUCAAACCUUUAGAUCCGGGAUUUGACGAGUUCCAAGGAUUAUUUGGGGAAAUUGUUAGGGGAUUUGAGUUUGGAGAGGCCUGGUGAUUAUAGGGUGUGAGCUUGGGGUCGAUUGGGGUUGUGCCGCCGGCAGGUGGGGUUUGGGAAUUUGGGGCGGCUAGGUCAGCUAGGGUUUGGGUGAGGGAGACGAAAUGGGAGUUCAAAAUUUUGUGUGUGUGUG
This 1672-nucleotide long non-coding RNA is filed under the name Nicotiana tabacum (common tobacco). RNAcentral describes it as "long non-coding RNA (NTAB_LNC013181)". The record is from RNAcentral. Lineage: Eukaryota; Viridiplantae; Streptophyta; Magnoliopsida; Solanales; Solanaceae.